Molecule: long non-coding RNA, 6493 nt
Organism: Brienomyrus brachyistius
Lineage: Eukaryota; Metazoa; Chordata; Actinopteri; Osteoglossiformes; Mormyridae
Exons: 2
Source: RefSeq, a predicted model, not a curated record
ACAUAUACUUCCUGUUUCUCUCGCGCAGAAUUGCCCAUAGUGUAGACCAUGGGUUCGCAUCCCGUUCAGGUUAUACUCGUUCUUUGUCGCCGUGCUUAUUGGGAUAGGCUCCAACAACCCUGACUAAGAUAAACGUAGAAAAUUGGCAAAAUGGACAGUCCUACUUCUGGAACACACGUAAGGGCAAUACGAAACUUGUAAUCUGAGGAUUACCUGUUUAACGUACUUUUUAAAGAGGGUACAUGUGGAUAGUUUAGCAAGGUACUUAACCUGAAUUAGUCUUGUAAACGACUAACCCGUUUAAAUUGGCAACAGUGUCAGGUAUUCAAACAAAUGUAGCAAUCAAAUAAUCACUUUCUGUAGCUAUUUAUUUAUUCAAAGUAAGUUUUUAUUUCUUCCAAUAAUGUGACAUUCUCCUUGUUGUCGAAAACGACAUAAUUUAUCCAUGUUAUCCAUUUUUCUGUGGCAGGAAAUGCAUGUGCCGAGAAACUUUAAUAAUUAUGUUUUGUUUCUAUAUCAACUACGAAGAAAUAAACAAAAGACUGUAGCGCCUCAGUUUUCCUUUUGGUGGCAAUAGCAAUCUAAUAAUCAUCCGGACUCGCCGAAAAACCUUACUGGCGUGCAUAAAAUAGCCAGCUUGAUACCUUGAAGAAUUCCAUUUUAGGGAGGUCCCGAGAUUUGCUCGAGCGUCCUGAAAAGAGAGAGCAACCACUCAUAUCGCCGUUGUCCUUCAAUGAGGAGCAGUCAGUGUAAGCGAGUCUGUCUGCCGGACCAUGGGUGUCUUAGGACCGUCCACUAACGCACGAGGUCGCCCUGCCUAAAAAGCUAUCAACACUUUAGGGAUACACGUACAGAUAUUUACAGAAGAUAUUGUCAUGGGUGAAGCUUAUUAAAAAAGGAAGGAAGAAAGAAAGAAAAAAGAAAGCAAUUUAUCCUCGAGGAUCAUCAUAUCAUUUUCGGGUUCGCUGAAGAUUACAUCUGGUCACAACGGAGUCACUGGUCAAGAACAACUUCAUAUUUCACAGCCGUCGUGGUACUUUGUAGUGUCAUCAUCUGUGAUUUGUCUCAUGUUGGGACGACGACCAUGUAAUGCUUCGAGAACACCAGUCUUCAGACCAAGCACAUAGGAUAUAUUGGAAGACACAAAGCAGCAAUCAGCCCCUCGACAGAGAGGAGGCACACGGACCUGGACACAACAAAGUCUAUAGCUUUUCGCUGUUUGCUAUUUACCUUGCAGUGCCAGUUGCAUUUCAUUAUCCUAUUCAAUGAACAGAUUUGACGGUUCGGCUUCCUUUACUUUCGGAGGAGAGCUAAUAGGUCUUGGCGUUUGCAACUUAGCUGCUGCGAUCUGGUAAGGGGUGCGGGGGGACGGUGUCAGAGAGCUUUUCUCUCUGCAUGCUCCAUCCCCACCCCCCCAAGUCAAUGAAGACUAUUCUCCCCAGUUUCCUCCAGGAGCACAUGUUAAUUGUAGCUGGGGCUGGUGGACUGUGGAGCAGAUGAGUCAGGCCCAUGCCCUGCUGCAGAAGGAUGCUGGGAUUACUCACCAGAAGCAUGUGGAAUCUCACGUGGCUAUUUAAGGACAUGGCGCUUCCCCGCUCAUCAGCCUCAGCCCCGUAUCGGGGGGGGGGGGGGGGGGGGGGGGGACCGCUCCUAUCCCACUCAAGAGCACAGAGGGAGCUAGACUCUCAAAUUAAAAAAAAAAAACUUGACUUGGAGAAUGAUCAUAACCGAAAUGCGGAACUAUCAUACAGUCAUACCAAAACUCUCCCUUUUAUUUGCGUUUUCUCUGUAUAAGACAGGUCAGGAAUGUGUUUUUUCGUGUGACUGGAAGGGCUGUACACAGUAGUCGGCCGAAUGGAAUGUUAUCGUUGUUGCUGAAACGGAGAGUGUUUCUUAACAGAAACUUUCAGGUUGGAGAGCAUGUUUUCAAGAAAGCCCAUUUCCAUUUGAAACGGUUAGGUUGCUAUGUAAAACAGUCUACUGGUAACUGCGGUUGACAAAGGUUUAUUUCAUUACCUGGUUGGGCAGAGCAGUGUCCUAUCAAAUACAUAUCCAGGCCUUGUUCUAUAUAAGAAUAUCACUCGUGGCACAGAGGCAUGUGCUGUGACCGCCAGCAAAAGUGACUUCACUUAGCAAUAAACAGUCACAUGGUAAAUACUGAGUUUCAGUUUGUGUGUAAGACAGUUCCUGAAAGGCUGCCAGGGUAGGGUGACCCCAUGGGCCUUACAGAGCAAAAAAAAGUACGGUCACAACAUUUCGCUCUUUGACUUAGUGACCUCAGCCUGUGAACUUCAGCUGCCUCAGAAGACCUAUAGCAACAAGACUUGGUUUGACAUUAAAAAAAGGCUAGAAUCCCAAUGUGGGAAGCAUAGCUGAGAUCCAACUGAGUGUCCUGUGCCGCUGCUCUGAGGCAGUGCGCUGUAGGGACUAGCUUCUGUGUGAGCAAGUUAUACGUCAAAGCAGGCAAGCGGGCCAGACCGUUUUCCAGUCAAUGCCUGAGGGCUCGUGCCAGGGGGCCAUGAGCUGAGAAAUGAGCUGGUGAAUGUGGCCGCUUGAAAGGGGAUAGCAGUCCUGCAUUACAGCUCGAGGAAGAUUCGCUGUCCACAAGUCACAUUUUUAGGGAUGUGAAAGCGAAUAUUUGUAAAGAUUCCCGGAAGCUACUUAAGUACCACCGGAGCGGCCGUAACACCUCGGUCAGCCAGGUGGCCAGUGCGAGGUCGGCAUAGGAAUAUCAUCACUGUCUGAAUGCCCUCGGCGGCCACAUCGGAAUGCUAAAUGUUAGCAUGGGCGGCCCGCAUUCCGACAACCCUGCAAUAUGCUGAGUAUGUUUAAUUAGAAAACACAAUCAGUCCUUAUUCAACCACUGGCAGCUACUUGACUCACCAAUCAUCUGUGUUUGCACAGCAGGCAACAAUUAAGGCCUCCUCCUGUAGAGCAACAGGCCAGGCUGUAUCAACAGAGCAAUCAGAGCGAUACCGCUGUAAACAAUGUAAAUGCCACGCUGUUUCGCACAACUGACGCUCAUGGGGGCAGUCGGGGGGCGUGCAGAUAAGUAAACAGAGCGAAGGACACACAGCCUCUCACUUCCAUUGAGUGGAGGCCUCUCCGCAAAGCCUCCCCCAGUGCCUCUUAUCUAGCUGAUGGUGACCAUCUGUUUACUGCCAUGAUCAGAGGAAUAACAUUUAAAAAAGGUUUGCAUUCUAGCAUUCCACAGUUCAUUCAUUCAGACGCAUGUACCCUAGGCCACGCCUCUGCUAAUCUCAUAUCUCAGUUAAGACUACCGGGUCUAUCUCGUAAUUACACUGUCUCCCACGCCAGGUCGAGAUAUUACGGCUUAGUUAGUUUGUGUAAUUAGCGAGCACAUAAACUUCGUGUUUGUUUGCCCAGUGCUUGUUUGACCGGCACGAUGAUCGUGAUAAAAACAGCUGAAUUUGCUGACAGAUCCUCAUUCAUGCUGAGGUUAUAUACCAGGGGUACUUAAGUAAUUGUUCCAUGAGGUCAAAAUUCAACCAGUGACAUAAAGCCAAGGUUCAGUGGCCCCGAUAAAAUUUAGGUUUCACUGACCAGGGGGGUUCAUUGGGGGGGGUUGGAUCAAUUGCAAGAUCGGGAUAACACUGCUUCGUGCAUUUGUCAUGUACUAUAUAAUAUACUAGUCAGGUUUACUGUUACACAAUGAAGCAUUCUGAAAUGAGCUUAUUAUUAAAUGUCAUUAUAAAUGCAAAUGCUUUUUUCCCCAGUUGUGUAGAAAGGCAGGAUAAAUAACUACACAUGUGGCUCCUUAUCCACUACACUGUAUUUCAGAAAUAAUGGGUUAAUGUUAGGUAAAUUAUGGAAGUGGCAUUUGUAAAGAUGUGCGUACUAUUACAAUUUGAAUAUGAAAUGUCUAACAGGUUGUUAAGUUGUGGUCUGUUCUGGAAUACAAAACAGGAACCCGACUGAAUAAAAUUCAUAGAGAAAUUAAAGGGCUUUUUUCUGCGGUGAAUGGAACUGUGCCACUGCGAUAUCACAGCCAUGCAACACGGUUCCUUCAUCCCUGUUCCGGAAACCCAUUGUGUGUUUUUAAUUAAUCCGGCGUGAAGAAGGUGUGGAUUCAGGUCUGAAUGUGAACUGGCAAUAUCACAACAUUUCUGUCAGUCUCCGUGAAACAAUUGUUUUGCAGAGAACAGGAAAGGCAAUUGUGUCUCUAUGUGCAUUUUAAAAGUAACUGAUUAAGCUAUAAGCCAAAUCAACAUUGUUUCUGAAAAACUGAAUGAUUAAGCAUUAAUAAUUCAUGCUGGUUAAGAGAUUCCUUUCUUUGUUCUUUUACAGUUGUUAAAGGGCAUGCUGCUUUCAGUGGUUUCCGGAUGAAACAUUUAGAUCAGGUAUGACUGUAUCAAGUCAAAGAAAUUAAGUGCAAAACUAGUGCAAAAACCUGCAUACGCAGGAGGUCCAGGUGACCAUGAUGCAGCAUCUUGGCACAUAGAGGAAACGCAAAGUGCCACACUAUCGCUGUCACACUGAGCGUCACACUGUACAGAGCCAUUAAAUUAAUAUUACUGCAUUCUUAGAAGCAGCAUGGUCCAAAGUUCUAUAAAAUGCAGUAUUUUUAGGUGGGGCAGUCUAUCUGUAGACUAAAUGUACGGUACUGUGCAAAUUUUAAAGUAAUUUAUCUGAUUAGUAAGUGAGUAAUUGCUCAGAGCAAAAACACAAUUUAACAUUAGAACAUUUGCAAAUUAAGAGUAACACAAUAAAAACUAUAAAGAAUUACUUGUGUUUUCCAAAAAGUCAGAACACUGCUUCGGUUUCCAAAAGUCUCCUUGGGAGCAGCCCAGCCAUUUCAUGUAUUUCUUAAAUUUCACCCUCAGCUCACCUAAUUAAUUACUUAAAUUAGUUUAAGCCACUGAGAUAUUGAUUAGCCAUACCAGGUGUCGAAGGGCUUGAGUCAAAAAAUGCACGGGGUGUAUUGGAUGAUUUCUGGAAAUUCUGGGGUGACCUUAGGAGAGGUUUUGGAAUAUGGCUAAGCUAACACACUUUGACAUAAUGUCAUAGUCUUACACUAUGAAGAUCAUUUAAACAUAUUUUUUUGCUUAAGACUUUUGCACAGUACUGUACAUUUUCAGUGAAAGCAUGCUGAGUUGAAGAAUCCUGUUAUGUGCUUUUGGACUUUUGUGUUACCUGCGAUCUACUGUAGUCCAGAGGCAACAAAAGCAUGUAAUCCCUUCAGCCACAGGACAGACUGAGGGUAGACCAUGUAAAAUGGAAGAGUGAAAAGUAAUUUAGAGACUGUUCUCCUAGUUUCGAUAAUACUGUGUGGUUGUUUAUCACAUAAAGAGGUUCUACUGUCACAGAUCAUGCAAUGUGCUGUGGGAAUGCUAGAAUGUAUGGUGACAUUGUCAGAUAUCUAUUCAAACAUGCUUCGCUGAUCAGAUCAUUUUAUUACCAGUAAAGAGAUUUAUCUACAACAGAUGUGAAGCUGUAUCAGGCCCAGAAUGAUGUCAAACAGACAGGCACUCAAUCUGUGCGAAGUAUGGCAAUACUACAUGAAUGACACUCGCGAUUCUGAGAUCAUAUUCCAUAUCAGGCAUUAAGCAAUUAGAGUCUUUUGGACUUAAAGUCUAAAAUAGCAUCUGAAGAUAAUAAUUUGAUAAUUUUCACCCUGGGUUUAAAAUUGUGUGUUGUUGUUGAAUCGUGGUAGCACAAAGUGAUAAGAUUAUUCCUAAGGCUGAAAUGGACUAUUAAAAUUUGUGGCAAACUCUAAAAUGGAUAUCCAUAAAUCCUGAAAAUGAGACUCUUAUUUAAGUCAACAGGUCUUGGGCUAUUAGAAUAUCCUAUAUCAAAUCCUCUGAAUAGAAUGUGAAACCCAAAUAAGAUAUACAUCUUACAUUUGAUAUAUAACAACAUAUAUUUAAAAAUAACAUUCUAGUACAUUAACAUUAGCAGUCCAUAAUUCAGAAAGUCCCCUGGUUCUCAGUAAAUGGCAGUGAUACAUUUUUUUCCCUGUUUGUACAACUUGCACGCCUCCAUACAUGAUCAUGAGAGAGGCACAAAGGAAGCCAGCUGGACGAGUCUCCCGGUGCAGAGAGCAGACGCUACGUGACGAUUCGGUUUGUGUCCCUCCCCCCUCCCGCAGCUUUACAUUAUCGGGAGGAGAUCACGUCAGGCUUUCUCAGGCUGGGAACUCAAUCCUGCACAAGCUCAGAAACGGAGAGAAAUGACGUUUCCUUUUUCUGAUAAUGUUUGUGAGAUCGUUUAUUUUAUUUAAGAGAUUAAACCACUGCACAUGUUAUUGACACAAAUGCAGGAUAGUUUGAAAGUUAAAACAUUCAGUUUAAAAAUACUACUAUUCAUACUUGUGACACUGAAGUCAUUUCACUGGGUUUUCUCUCAUUGAUAUAUAUUUCUAAGUUCUCAAAACAAUGUACCAUGCUCUCCAUCCACCAAUAUAUUAUAAACCAAAGUCAUAUAACUUGUUUACACAACUAAAUCAUGUGUGACAUAAAUGCAUUUAAUCCGA